RNAcentral lists this ribosomal RNA (921 nucleotides) under Ascomycota sp. CH014. RNAcentral describes it as "eukaryotic LSU rRNA". The stretch from base 316 to 921 matches the Rfam family "Eukaryotic large subunit ribosomal RNA", at positions 1 to 622 of the family's 3401-position model. Lineage: Eukaryota; Fungi; Ascomycota. The record is from RNAcentral.
CAACUUUCAACAACGGAUCUCUUGGUUCUGGCAUCGAUGAAGAACGCAGCGAAAUGCGAUAAGUAGUGUGAAUUGCAGAAUUCAGUGAAUCAUCGAAUCUUUGAACGCACAUUGCGCCCCUUGGUAUUCCAUGGGGCAUGCCUGUUCGAGCGUCAUUUGUACCUUCAAGCUCUGCUUGGUGUUGGGUGUUUGUCUCGCCUCUGCGCGUAGACUCGCCUCAAAACAAUUGGCAGCCGGCGUAUUGAUUUCGGAGCGCAGUACAUCUCGCGCUUUGCACUCAUAACGACGACGUCCAAAAGUACAUUUUUACACUCUUGACCUCGGAUCAGGUAGGGAUACCCGCUGAACUUAAGCAUAUCAAUAAGCGGAGGAAAAGAAACCAACAGGGAUUGCCCUAGUAACGGCGAGUGAAGCGGCAACAGCUCAAAUUUGAAAUCUGGCGUCUUCGGCGUCCGAGUUGUAAUUUGCAGAGGGCGCUUUGGCAUUGGCAGCGGUCCAAGUUCCUUGGAACAGGACGUCACAGAGGGUGAGAAUCCCGUACGUGGUCGCUAGCCUUUACCGUGUAAAGCCCCUUCGACGAGUCGAGUUGUUUGGGAAUGCAGCUCUAAAUGGGAGGUAAAUUUCUUCUAAAGCUAAAUACUGGCCAGAGACCGAUAGCGCACAAGUAGAGUGAUCGAAAGAUGAAAAGCACUUUGGAAAGAGAGUUAAAAAGCACGUGAAAUUGUUGAAAGGGAAGCGCUUGCAGCCAGACUUGCCUGUAGUUGCUCAUCCGGGUUUCUACCCGGUGCACUCUUCUAUAGGCAGGCCAGCAUCAGUUUGGGCGGUUGGAUAAAGGUCUCUGUCAUGUACCUCUCUUCGGGGAGAACUUAUAGGGGAGACGACAUGCAACCAGCCUGGACUGAGGUCCGCGCAUCUGCUAGG